CUAUGGCCAUACCACCCUGAAUGGAAGCUAAGCAGGGUUGGGCUUGGUAAGUCCUUCAGUGGGAGACUGUUCAGGUCAUUUCCUAAACCGGGUGGUGAAAUGGU
Molecule: ribosomal RNA, 104 nt
Filed under: Fukomys damarensis (Damara mole-rat)
Lineage: Eukaryota; Metazoa; Chordata; Mammalia; Rodentia; Bathyergidae
Source: RNAcentral